Molecule: ribosomal RNA, 253 nt
Filed under: uncultured bacterium
Lineage: Bacteria
Description: partial 16S ribosomal RNA
Rfam family: Bacterial small subunit ribosomal RNA
Source: RNAcentral
GACAGAGGUCCCGAGCGUUAGGCGGAAUCACUGGGCUUAAGGCGUGUGUAGGCGGAUUUGUAAGUACCUUGUGAAAUCCCACGGCUCAACCGUGGAACUGCUUGGUAUACUGCUUAUCUUGGGCCACUUAGGGGUUACCGGAACAAACGGUGGAGCGGUGAAAUGCGUAGAUAUCGUUUGGAACGCCAAUGGUGAAAACAGGUAACUGGGAGUGUGCCGACGCUGAGACACGAAAGCCAGGGGAGCGAACGGG